UGCCGAGUCGUCUAAUGGUAGGACGUCGCCCUCUGGAGGCGAAUAUUCCUGGUUCGAGUCCAGGCUCGGCAACCA
RNAcentral lists this transfer RNA (75 nucleotides) under Candidatus Gottesmanbacteria bacterium RIFCSPHIGHO2_01_FULL_42_12. Its description in RNAcentral is "tRNA-Gln". It matches the Rfam family "tRNA". From Rfam's summary of the family: Transfer RNA (tRNA) molecules are approximately 80 nucleotides in length. Their secondary structure includes four short double-helical elements and three loops (D, anti-codon, and T loops). Further hydrogen bonds mediate the characteristic L-shaped molecular structure. tRNAs have two regions of fundamental functional importance: the anti-codon, which is responsible for specific mRNA codon recognition, and the 3' end, to which the tRNAs corresponding amino acid is attached (by aminoacyl-tRNA synthetases). tRNAs cope with the degeneracy of the genetic code in two manners: having more than one tRNA (with a specific anti-codon) for a particular amino acid; and 'wobble' base-pairing, i.e. permitting non-standard base-pairing at the 3rd anti-codon position. The record is from RNAcentral. Lineage: Bacteria; Candidatus Gottesmaniibacteriota.